Molecule: ribosomal RNA, 494 nt
Filed under: uncultured bacterium
Lineage: Bacteria
Description: bacterial SSU rRNA
Rfam family: Bacterial small subunit ribosomal RNA
Source: RNAcentral
AAAGGAAUAGACGGGGGCCCGCACAAGCGGAGGAACAUGUGGUUUAAUUCGAUGAUACGCGAGGAACCUUACCCGGGCUUGAAAUGUACAUGAAUAAUCUGGAAACAGGUUAGCCAGCAAUGGCAUGUAUGUAGGUGCUGCAUGGUUGUCGUCAGCUCGUGCCGUGAGGUGUCGGCUUAAGUGCCAUAACGAGCGCAACCCUUACCGAUAGUUACUAACAGGUUAAGCUGAGGACUCUAUUGGGACUGCCUUCGUAAGGAGUGAGGAAGGAGAGGAUGACGUCAAAUCAGCACGGCCCUUACGUCCGGGGCGACACACGUGUUACAAUGGGUGGUACAAAGGGCAGCUACCGGGCGACCGGAUGCUAAUCUCUAAAUCCACUCCCAGUUCGGAUUGGAGUCUGCAACUCGACUCCAUGAAGCUGGAUUCGCUAGUAAUCGCGCAUCAGCCAUGGCGCGGUGAAUACGUUCCCGGGCCUUGUACACACCGCCCGU